UUGCACUUUCACCACGCUGUGAAGUUCAUAUUUUAUUUCAUCUGUAGACUCAUAAACUGCACGCUUUCCCGACGAGUCAUAGUGGGAGGAGCACAGCAUGCUGGGAGAUCUCAAACUGAGGAUAAGGAAGGAACUAGAGGAAGUACAUGAGCCGUGAUAAAUUCCAACCAUCUCCUAACCACACACAAACUCUUGGUUGACACAAUUGUGCCAUUACUGCUCUGUGAAUCAGCGUAAAUUAAACUACCUCAACUGGAA
Coregonus clupeaformis (lake whitefish) is the source of this 258-nucleotide long non-coding RNA. RefSeq lists it as uncharacterized. NCBI's taxonomy places the organism in Eukaryota, Metazoa, Chordata, Actinopteri, Salmoniformes, Salmonidae. The transcript is spliced from 2 exons. The record is from RefSeq and is a predicted model, not a curated record.